This 458-nucleotide ribosomal RNA is filed under the name uncultured bacterium. RNAcentral describes it as "partial 16S ribosomal RNA". It matches the Rfam family "Bacterial small subunit ribosomal RNA", at positions 338 to 795 of the family's 1533-position model. The record is from RNAcentral.
CCUACGGUGGGCAGCAGUGAGGAAUAUUGGUCAAUGGGCGAGAGCCUGAACCAGCCAAGUCGCGUGAGGGAGUACUGCCCUAUGGGUUGUAAACCUCUUUUGUCGGGGAGCAAAAGCCGGACGUGUCCGGCUGUGAGAGUACCCGAAUAAAAAGCAUCGGCUAACUCCGUGCCAGCAGCCGCGGUAAUACGGGGGAUGCGCGCGUUUUCCGGAUUUCUUGGGGUUAAAGGGUGCCAGGGCGGAUUUUUAAGUCAGCGGUCAAAUCGUGGGGCUCAACCCCAUCCCGCCGUUGAAACUGGGGAUCUAGAGUGUGCGAGAGGUAUGCGGAAUGCGUGGUGUAGCGGUGAAAUGCAUAGAUAUCACGCAGAACCCCGAUUGCGAAGGCAGCAUACCGGUGCACAACUGACGCUCAGGCACGAAAGCGUGGGUAUCGAACAGGAUUAGAUACCCUUGUAGUC